AAUUCAGCCGUUUGCCGGAUUCAAAUCAUAUUAUGGGGAAAUCCAAGACGGGCGCUGUGCCCUAAAAAUAAGGCCCUGAUCUCAAUUCGUAACUUCUUGCUAGCAAAGCUUCAACAGUUCAUAAUUUCAACAUUUUCCCACAACAAACAGAAAGGGCAUUGACCAAAUCUUAUCGAUCAAUCAUCGAUCAACAAAAGAGGAAAAAAGAAGAGGCAAUUCUAUAUUUCAUUCCCACAAGCUACCAAAAAGCACACGAUGAGUGGUAAUCCAGUGAUAGGCACUGUGCAUUUGACUGGAGCUCAAACCUCACUACAACAACGAUGCUUUUGCCGAGCAAAAAACAAAACAAACUACCAAAAAGCACUGAAUUUUUUUGGAAGAGAUGGAUAGUUAAACCGUUGGUUGACGUAAACAAUACAUUUGAGCAUGUCGUAGAUAGCAGACAUGAAUCUGCAUCACCUCAAAGCUUGAUACCAGCAAAAGAGGAGCAAAAGCUGGAUUAAAUAUCAAACAUUCAUGAUUUCUUGUCGCUGAAACGAUAUAUAAAGCCUCUGUUUCACUUGUUAUUUGGCUGCAUCUAGAGUGAGAAGUAUAUAUCCGCAGAAGAAGUUGACAAUGAGCAAAUAGCAGGUUCAGGUUCCAUCUUCACUGUCUGAAAGCAAGCAAUCUUGUAUUUGCUCCCUAAGAAGAGAACACACACAAAUUUAUAAGAUCCUAAGAAGA
Molecule: long non-coding RNA, 723 nt
Organism: Rhododendron vialii
Lineage: Eukaryota; Viridiplantae; Streptophyta; Magnoliopsida; Ericales; Ericaceae
Exons: 3
Source: RefSeq, a predicted model, not a curated record